This 73-nucleotide transfer RNA is filed under the name Chlamydiota bacterium. Its description in RNAcentral is "Chlamydiae bacterium tRNA-His". It matches the Rfam family "tRNA". From Rfam's summary of the family: Transfer RNA (tRNA) molecules are approximately 80 nucleotides in length. Their secondary structure includes four short double-helical elements and three loops (D, anti-codon, and T loops). The record is from RNAcentral. Lineage: Bacteria; Pseudomonadati; Chlamydiota.
GCGGCCGUAGUUCAGUGGUAGAGCGCUAGAUUGUGGUUCUAGAUGUCGCGGGUUCAAAUCCCGUCGGUCGCCC